Non-coding RNA from Ictidomys tridecemlineatus (thirteen-lined ground squirrel), 432 nucleotides. Lineage: Eukaryota; Metazoa; Chordata; Mammalia; Rodentia; Sciuridae. The record is from RefSeq and is a predicted model, not a curated record.
UGUUGCCUGGCGACCAGCACAGUAGGAGGCGGUUCAGCAAGGCGCUGCGUAGAGACCCUAUGAAGAGGUUGCUAACCAAGCCUUCAUGAAACAGGGAACCAGAACUGAAACCAACUGAGACUGGGUCAGACCAGUGACAGGCCAGACCCACCCCUCCCACUGGACACUCCAGCAAGGCAUCUGGGGCCUGCCAUAGCAGAGAGCUGAAGUCACCUGAGUUCAGCGAAGGGGAUCCCUUCCCAGCUGAAUUGGCUUUAGCAGGUUUAACAGAUGACUCAAAGAAAGGACCAGAGUUCAACAUACUUAUUAAUUUAUCAUGCUGUGAAGACUGAGAAAGAUCUGAGCUGAAUACUGCCACUAGAACCAAGACUUAUAAUGGAACAGUAUGUUCACAGAAUGUUCAGGUUUCAAAUAAAGCAACUUGGAUUGUUA